Molecule: long non-coding RNA, 330 nt
Filed under: Capra hircus (goat)
Lineage: Eukaryota; Metazoa; Chordata; Mammalia; Artiodactyla; Bovidae
Description: lncRNA (ENSCHIG00010000757.1)
Source: RNAcentral
AUGCCACUGGAAUCACAAAGUGUUCUAACACUUGAAAGUGCCGAGCACAGUGCUUGGCACACAUUAGGUAUGCUGUGCUUGUUCACUCACUCACUCACUCACUCAUUCAUUCAUCCACGCCUAAGGAGAAUGGGAGAGGAGACGUUAAUGAUCAAAAUUUCAAACUGCUUGGUUAAAAUCUACCAAUUGAAGCCCUGGGUUGUCCUAGAGAACAUCACAGAGAAUCAGGGUCAAUAUUCCACAACAGAAAUAUAUUCCUUCAAUACCCAGGCUUUGCUUUUACACAUAAACAUCUGCUCAAAGACAAGAAUAAGUUGGUGUCAGACGUAA